GUCUAUGGCCAUGCUGCCCUGAACACGCCUGAUCUCAUCUGAUCUCAGAAGCUAAGCAGAGUUGGGCAUAGUUAGUACUUGGAUGGGAGACCACUUAGGAAGAUCGGAUGCUGUAGGUG
This 119-nucleotide ribosomal RNA is filed under the name Pteropus alecto (black flying fox). The record is from RNAcentral. Lineage: Eukaryota; Metazoa; Chordata; Mammalia; Chiroptera; Pteropodidae.